GACGAACGCUGGCGGCGUGCUUAACACAUGCAAGUCGAACGGAAAGGCCCUGCUUUUGUGGGGUGCUCGAGUGGCGAACGGGUGUGUAACACGAGAGUAACCUGCCCUUGACUUUGGGAUAACUUCAGAAAACUGGGGCUUAUACCGGAUAGGCGCUCCUGCUGCAUGGUGGGGGUUGGAAAGAUUCGGCGGUUGGGGAUGGUCUCGCGGCUUAUCAGCUUGGUUGUGGGGUAGUGGCUUACCAAGGCUGUGACGGGUCGCCGGCCUGAGAGGGUGGCCGGGCCAAUUGGGACUGAGAUACGGGCCAGGACCCUACGGGGGGGAAGAGUGGGGAAUAAUGCACAAUGGGCGGAAGGCUGGUGCAGCAACGGCGGGUGGGGGAACACGGCCUUCGGGUUGUAAACCGCUUUCGCCUGUGACGGAGGGUGAGGGAAGGGAAUGGGUAAAGAAGGACCGGCUAAAUAAGGG
RNAcentral lists this ribosomal RNA (468 nucleotides) under uncultured bacterium. Its description in RNAcentral is "partial 16S ribosomal RNA". It matches the Rfam family "Bacterial small subunit ribosomal RNA", at positions 28 to 507 of the family's 1533-position model. The record is from RNAcentral.